AGUGAACGCUGGCGGCAGGCCUAACACAUGCAAGUCGAGCGGCAGCGCGGGGGCAACCCUGGCGGCGAGCGGCGGACGGGUGAGGAAUGCAUCGGAAUCUACCUCGUUGUGGGGGAUAACCUCGGGAAACCGGGACUAAUACCGCAUACGACCUACGGGUGAAAGUGGGGGACCUUCGGGCCUCACGCGAUGAGAUGAGCCGAUGCCGGAUUAGCUAGUUGGCGGGGUAAAGGCCCACCAAGGCGACGAUCCGUAGCUGGUCUGAGAGGAUGAUCAGCCACACUGGAACUGAGACACGGUCCAGACUCCUACGGGAGGCAGCAGUGGGGAAUAUUGGACAAUGGGCGCAAGCCUGAUCCAGCCAUGCCGCGUGUGCGAAGAAGGCCUUCGGGUUGUAAAGCACUUUUUGAGAGGAUGAGGAAGGACGGUACUCUCAGAAUAAGUCUCGGCUAACUACGUG
This 460-nucleotide ribosomal RNA is filed under the name uncultured bacterium. RNAcentral describes it as "bacterial SSU rRNA". It matches the Rfam family "Bacterial small subunit ribosomal RNA", at positions 30 to 507 of the family's 1533-position model. The record is from RNAcentral.